This 301-nucleotide ribosomal RNA is filed under the name uncultured bacterium. Its description in RNAcentral is "partial 16S ribosomal RNA". It matches the Rfam family "Bacterial small subunit ribosomal RNA", at positions 509 to 807 of the family's 1533-position model. The record is from RNAcentral.
CAGCAGCCACGGUAAUACGAAGGGUGCAAGCGUUACUCGGAAUUACUGGGCGCAAAGCGUGCGUAGGUGGUGGUUUAAGUCCGUUGUGAAAGCCCUGGGCUCAACCUGGGAAUUGCAGUGGAUACUGGGUCACUAGAGUGUGGUAGAGGAUAGUGGAAUUUCCGGUGUAGCAGUGAAAUGCGUAGAGAUCGGAAGGAACAUCUGUGGCGAAGGCGACUAUCUGGGCCAACACUGACACUGAGGCACGAAAGCGUGGGGAGCAAACAGGAUUAGAUACCCCUGUAGUCCCUGUCUCUUAUAC